Molecule: long non-coding RNA, 723 nt
Filed under: Gossypium raimondii (Peruvian cotton)
Lineage: Eukaryota; Viridiplantae; Streptophyta; Magnoliopsida; Malvales; Malvaceae
Description: long non-coding RNA (GRAI_LNC004806)
Source: RNAcentral
CUGCUUUUGCUUUUGUUUUUUGUUUUUCAUCCCUUUUCACACAAUGGAAACACCUACGGAGGGUGGACACUAUGUGCAACAUCAUCAAACUAUGUAGGAAAAAAGUUACACAACAUACGGAAAGCAAAUAAUGUUGUAAAAUAAAAAAAUAAAAACACUAACCUGUAAGUAGUGGAGCAACCGUAGCAGGAGUAAACACUAACCUGUAAAGAGUUGGCUCAAUACUUGCUUUUAUUAACUCUGAUGCUGGCUAUGCCAUCGUAUAGAUGAAAGAUAUAAAAUAAUUUGCAUCUGAGAUUUGUUUUAACAGAAAAUAAUAAUUUACCUCGUUUAGUUAAUCUGAAGGAUGAGACAUAAAUAUAACUCACUUCUGGCGCUGAGAAAAGACCGCCCAAGGUGGAACAAUUUUUCUUAUAUCCUGCACUCUCAUCCUUGCCUACAUAAUGUAAGGUCAUGAAUACAUGAGAGAAGUCUUCUUCACUUGCUUGCCUGAUUUUCUACAACCAAAACUUUCCAUUUAUCCUUCAUACCAGCAGAGCUCAAAUGCACUUUCUCCUUUUUCUUUCUUUUGAGUUUGAAAGCUUCUUUUCCAACUCAACUUCUACCUUUUAGCUACCUUUUGAAAAAAAGAAGAAGCAGGGUGCUGAACAGAGGGAAGAGAGAAGAGAAAGAGGAAGAGGAAAAAAUGAUCUAAUUAUAGAGAGAUCCCUAAUUAACUUAAUU